Molecule: regulatory RNA element, 98 nt
Organism: Mycobacterium sp. 1164966.3
Lineage: Bacteria; Bacillati; Actinomycetota; Actinomycetes; Mycobacteriales; Mycobacteriaceae
Rfam family: Glycine riboswitch aptamer
About the family: This family represents the bacterial glycine riboswitch.
Source: Rfam
CGCGCUUGCGCGGGAGAGUUCCAUGACCGCCAGUCAUGGACGCCGAAGGAGCAACACCUCUCCGUCAACCUCUCAGGCACCCGGACCGCGUAAGACAA